GUCAAGUCAUCAUGGCCCUUAUGUCCAGGGCGACACACGUGCUACAAUGGUCGGUACAGAGGGAAGCAAACCUGUGAGGGCAAGCGGAUCCCGUAAAGCCGAUCUCAGUUCGGAUUGAAGUCUGCAAUUCGACUUCAUGAAGCUGGAAUCGCUAGUAAUCGCAGAUCAGCCAAGCUGCGGUGAAUACGUUCCCGGGCCUU
RNAcentral lists this ribosomal RNA (200 nucleotides) under uncultured prokaryote. RNAcentral describes it as "partial 16S ribosomal RNA". It matches the Rfam family "Bacterial small subunit ribosomal RNA", at positions 1184 to 1382 of the family's 1533-position model. The record is from RNAcentral.